This 69-nucleotide transfer RNA is filed under the name Neolissochilus heterostomus. Its description in RNAcentral is "tRNA-Ala". It matches the Rfam family "tRNA". Rfam says of the family: Transfer RNA (tRNA) molecules are approximately 80 nucleotides in length. Lineage: Eukaryota; Metazoa; Chordata; Actinopteri; Cypriniformes; Cyprinidae. The record is from RNAcentral. RNAcentral also lists the same sequence under 2 other names.
AAGGCCUUAGUUUAGUAAAAAUGUCUGAUUUGCAAUCAGGAGAUGUGAGUUAAUUUCUUGCAGGUCUUA